RNAcentral lists this ribosomal RNA (472 nucleotides) under uncultured bacterium. RNAcentral's name for it is "partial 16S ribosomal RNA". It matches the Rfam family "Bacterial small subunit ribosomal RNA", at positions 28 to 507 of the family's 1533-position model. The record is from RNAcentral.
GACGAACGCUGGCGGCGUGCUUAACACAUGCCAGUCGAACGCUGAAGCUUGGUGCUUGCACUGGGUGGAUGAGUGGCGAACGGGUGAGUAAUACGUGAGUAACCUGCCCUUGACUCUGGGAUAAGCCUGGGAAACUGGGUCUAAUACUAGAUACGACAUGUCACCGCAUGGUGGUGUGUGGAAAGGGUUUUACUGGUUUUGGAUGGGCUCACGGCCUAUCAGCUUGUUGGUGGGGUAAUGGCUCACCAAGGCGACGACGGGUAGCCGGCCUGAGAGGGUGACCGGCCACACUGGGACUGAGACACGGACCAGACUCCUACGGGGGGCAGCGGUGGGGAAUAUUGCACAAUGGGCGGACGCCUGAUGCAGCGACGCCGCGUGUGGGAUGACGGCCUUCGGGUUGUAAACCUCUUUCAGCAAGGAAGAAGCGAAAGUGACGGUACGUGAAGAAGAAGCGCCGGCUAACUACGUG